RNAcentral lists this RNase P RNA (375 nucleotides) under Desulfuribacillus stibiiarsenatis. RNAcentral describes it as "Bacterial RNase P class B". It matches the Rfam family "Bacterial RNase P class B". From Rfam's summary of the family: Ribonuclease P (RNase P) is a ubiquitous endoribonuclease, found in archaea, bacteria and eukarya as well as chloroplasts and mitochondria. Its best characterised activity is the generation of mature 5'-ends of tRNAs by cleaving the 5'-leader elements of precursor-tRNAs. Cellular RNase Ps are ribonucleoproteins. Lineage: Bacteria; Bacillati; Bacillota; Desulfuribacillia; Desulfuribacillales; Desulfuribacillaceae. The record is from Rfam by way of RNAcentral.
UAUUGUAAGUAGUCGCAGUAUCUAUUGCGAGAUAGAUAUUGAGGAAAGUCCACGCUCGUCUAGGCUGAGACGCUUAGAGUUUGGGUGCCUGGCGAAAUCAUAAGCCAGGGCAGCAUGAUAUGCUGACGGCGGUGAAAUGAACUCACUGAGUUCAAAAUAGCCUGAAAGUGCCACAGUGACGAAGUCCUUCUGGCGACAGAAGGAGUGGAACGAGGUAAACCCCACUUGCGAGAAACCUAAAUUAUGGUAAGGGAGCUAUCCAGAGGGAAUUCAACUGAUGGAUGGAUUAGAUAAAGUCUACCGCGACGUAUGAUUUAUCUAAUAGAUAGAUGGCUACUACUUCUUUUUAAGAAGUACAGAACGUGGCUUACAGCA